GUGGAAGGCUGGAUGGCCGCGGCAGACUGGAUCUGUCGAGGAAAGUCCGGACUCCAAAAAGCAACGGUGCCGGGUAACGCCCGGGCGGGGCAACCCGACGGAAAGCGCCACAGAAAAUAUACCGCCCCGCAGGUUGGGGUCCGGUCGAACCGGUGGGGUAAAAGCCCACCGCGCCUCUGGCAACAGCGGCGGCAUGGCAAGCCCCACCGGGAGCAAUGCCAAAUAGGGAUCCCGCCAUUGGGCGCGCUUUUCGCUCAGGGAUCCGGGUUGGCAGCUAAAGCGCGGGUGGCAACACCCCGCCCAGAGGAAUGGUCAUCACCCUUCGGGGAACAGAAUCCGGCUUACAGGCCUUCCGCGCAU
This 360-nucleotide RNase P RNA is filed under the name Dinoroseobacter sp. RNAcentral's name for it is "RNase P RNA component class A". It matches the Rfam family "Bacterial RNase P class A". Rfam says of the family: Ribonuclease P (RNase P) is a ubiquitous endoribonuclease, found in archaea, bacteria and eukarya as well as chloroplasts and mitochondria. Its best characterised activity is the generation of mature 5'-ends of tRNAs by cleaving the 5'-leader elements of precursor-tRNAs. Lineage: Bacteria; Pseudomonadati; Pseudomonadota; Alphaproteobacteria; Rhodobacterales; Roseobacteraceae. The record is from RNAcentral.